GUCGAACGCUGGCGGCGUGCCUAAUACAUGCAAGUAGAACGCUGAAGGAGGAGCUUGCUUCUCUGGAUGAGUUGCGAACGGGUGAGUAACGCGUAGGUAACCUGCCUGGUAGCGGGGGAUAACUAUUGGAAACGAUAGCUAAUACCGCAUAAGAGUAGAUGUCGCAUGACAUUUGCUUAAAAGGUGCAAUUGCAUCACUACCAGAUGGACCUGCGUUGUAUUAGCUAGUUGGUGAGGUAACGGCUCACCAAGGCAACGAUACAUAGCCGACCUGAGAGGGUGAGCGGCCACACUGGGAGUGAGACACGGCCCAGACUGCUACGGGAGGCAGCAGUAGGGAAUCUUCGGCAAUGGACGGAAGUCUGACCGAGUAACGCCGAGUGAGUGAAGAAGGUUUUCGGAUCGUAAAGCGCUGUUGUAAGAGAAGAACGAGUGUGAGAGUGGAAAGUUCACAAUGUGACGGUAUCUUACCAGAAAGGGACGGCUAACUACGUG
This 495-nucleotide ribosomal RNA is filed under the name uncultured bacterium. RNAcentral describes it as "partial 16S ribosomal RNA". It matches the Rfam family "Bacterial small subunit ribosomal RNA", at positions 28 to 507 of the family's 1533-position model. The record is from RNAcentral.